UGUAUGGGGAUCUGCCCGAUAGAGGGGGAUAACUACUGGAAACGGUGGCUAAUACCGCAUAAUGUCUACGGACCAAAGCAGGGGCUCUUCGGACCUUGCACUAUCGGAUGAACCCAUAUGGGAUUAGCUAGUAGGUGGGGUAAAGGCUCACCUAGGCGACGAUCUCUAGCUGGUCUGAGAGGAUGAUCAGCCACACUGGGACUGAGACACAGCCCAG
This 217-nucleotide ribosomal RNA is filed under the name uncultured bacterium. RNAcentral describes it as "partial 16S ribosomal RNA". It matches the Rfam family "Bacterial small subunit ribosomal RNA", at positions 114 to 334 of the family's 1533-position model. The record is from RNAcentral.